AUCAGUGGACCCCCAACCACAGAAACCAAAAUGAAAGCUGCAUUUUUGAUUACUUUUGUAAUGGCCAUCUUCGCUUUAACCAUGGCCAAUCCAUCGCCAAAUCCGAACCCAAUGCCCCAACCAAGACCUCAGUACUGGAAUUACGGGUAUGGAAUGGGAAUGCCAUACUAUGGAUUAGGUUAUGGGUACUACUUCUAAUUGAAAAAGCUCUUUUGGACAAGUUUUCCAAUGAAAAUAAAUAUUGUUUUUAUAUUGCUA
This is a long non-coding RNA of Photinus pyralis (common eastern firefly), 258 nucleotides long. RefSeq lists it as uncharacterized. The transcript has 3 exons. NCBI's taxonomy places the organism in Eukaryota, Metazoa, Arthropoda, Insecta, Coleoptera, Lampyridae. The record is from RefSeq and is a predicted model, not a curated record.